GCCGAUGUAGCUCAGUUGGAAGAGUUCUUUCUUGGUAAGAAAGAGGUCACGGGUUCAAAUCCCGUCAUUGGCU
Molecule: transfer RNA, 73 nt
Filed under: Homalodisca vitripennis (glassy-winged sharpshooter)
Lineage: Eukaryota; Metazoa; Arthropoda; Insecta; Hemiptera; Cicadellidae
Also listed under: 3 other names
Description: tRNA-Thr
Rfam family: tRNA
About the family: Transfer RNA (tRNA) molecules are approximately 80 nucleotides in length. Their secondary structure includes four short double-helical elements and three loops (D, anti-codon, and T loops).
Source: RNAcentral